GGUGACGUGUCCGAGUGGCCGAUGGAGCUCGCCUCGAAAGCGAGUGUGGGGCAACCCACCGAGGGUUCAAAUCCCUCCGUCACCGCCA
This 88-nucleotide transfer RNA is filed under the name Propionibacteriaceae bacterium. RNAcentral describes it as "tRNA-Ser". It matches the Rfam family "tRNA". Rfam says of the family: Transfer RNA (tRNA) molecules are approximately 80 nucleotides in length. Their secondary structure includes four short double-helical elements and three loops (D, anti-codon, and T loops). Further hydrogen bonds mediate the characteristic L-shaped molecular structure. tRNAs have two regions of fundamental functional importance: the anti-codon, which is responsible for specific mRNA codon recognition, and the 3' end, to which the tRNAs corresponding amino acid is attached (by aminoacyl-tRNA synthetases). tRNAs cope with the degeneracy of the genetic code in two manners: having more than one tRNA (with a specific anti-codon) for a particular amino acid; and 'wobble' base-pairing, i.e. permitting non-standard base-pairing at the 3rd anti-codon position. Lineage: Bacteria; Bacillati; Actinomycetota; Actinomycetes; Propionibacteriales; Propionibacteriaceae. The record is from RNAcentral.